UGGGGAAUUUUGCACAAUGGGGGAAACCCUGAUGCAGCGACGCCGCGUGAUUUAGAAGGCCUUCGGGUUGUAAAAAUCUUUUCUAUGGGAAGAAAAUGACAGUACCAUAGGAAUAAGGACCGGCUAAUUACGUGCCAGCAGCCGCGGUAAUACGUAAGGUCCGAGCGUUGUCCGGAAUCAUUGGGCGUAAAGGGUACGUAGGCGGGUAAGCAAGUUAGAAGUGAAAUCCUAUAGCUCAACUAUAGUAAGCUUUUAAAACUGCUCAUCUUGAGGUAUGGAAGAGAAAGUGGAAUUACUAGUGUAGCGGUGAAAUGCGCAGAUAUUAGGAGGAAUACCGGUGGCGAAGGCGGCUUUCUGGCCAUAACCUGACGCUGAGGUACGAAAGCGUGGGUAGCAAACAGG
This 402-nucleotide ribosomal RNA is filed under the name bacterium. RNAcentral describes it as "partial 16S ribosomal RNA". It matches the Rfam family "Bacterial small subunit ribosomal RNA", at positions 355 to 776 of the family's 1533-position model. The record is from RNAcentral.